GAAACUCGCGGAUUGGCUGCCUCCUGUGCCCACCCGACCUGGGCCUGGGAACCUGCAACCAAGGUCCAUGCCCUGGACCCACGACCCUCCAGUCCCGCGCUGAUGCUCUGCCCGCCCAGGGCACAGGCCGGGCUGAAGCGGCCAUUUCUCUCUGCGACCUGGUGAUUCUGAGAAGGAGCCAGAAGAGCCCAGAUGAAAAGCCCUGCUUCCUCUCCCUGAGCUGUGACCCCAGUGGAGGUGAAGGAAUCGUUUCUGUUGGCAUUUUAAGUUCA
Myotis brandtii (Brandt's bat) is the source of this 272-nucleotide long non-coding RNA. RefSeq lists it as uncharacterized. The record is from RefSeq and is a predicted model, not a curated record. The transcript is spliced from 2 exons. Lineage: Eukaryota; Metazoa; Chordata; Mammalia; Chiroptera; Vespertilionidae.